ACAAUGAAAAGAUAUUAUCGGACUAUGGGACAACUUUUGUUACAGCAUGGAAGAAUACUCACAACUACAGGGUGUGGAACAGCAACAAGCAUCCAGCACUUGCAGAAAUAAAUCCAAACCAUCCAUUUCAAGGCCAAUACUCAGUAUCAGACAUGAAGUUAAGGUUCUCACAGCCAGUCAGUUGGAGGAGCUUUUUCCAGUGCAAAGACAGCUAUGUCUUCAUGGCUUUCCACUUUCACCACUUCCACCUCCCAAAGUCUCACUGAGCCACCGGAUGGGAAGCCUUGAGCAAGGUGUCAGAGGCUGCUAUUGCUUUCUGAGGUUUAAGUGUCCCCUGUCUGUCUGCUGCUCCCAGGCUGUUACCAGCCACAGAUCCACAGCAGGGGACCUAUGUCGAACUGUUUACAUGGAUGUUGCUCUAAGUGAAUGUUUUGGGAUGCCGAAAUGAUGAAAUCACAGCCAUAACAGGGAUGGCUUUCCAGUUUAUAUUCAGCAAAGUAAGAGGCAAGAGAAGAAAACUGCAGCCUUGACAUCUGUCAUCUGAGAAAGGACAUCUGGUUUCAUGUUAGGCACAUACAUGCAUGUGUGUGCCAUCUACUGAUGAUUUGUACACAGCUGGACCUCGUGUGUUUGCCAUGCUCAGCUCUCAUUUGCUUUUCAAGGAUACCUGGGAUGGCCGUUCUCAGAGAGUACUUACGGGGAACAGACUGCCUUUUAGUAACAAAGGAUACUUGGGAAAUACAUU
This 745-nucleotide long non-coding RNA is filed under the name Pan paniscus (pygmy chimpanzee). Its description in RNAcentral is "lncRNA (ENSPPAG00000045280.1)". Lineage: Eukaryota; Metazoa; Chordata; Mammalia; Primates; Hominidae. The record is from RNAcentral.